AUUGAACGCUGGCGGCGAUGCUUACACAUGCAAGUCGAACGGCAGCACGGGAGCAAUCCUGGUGGCGGAGUGGCGAACGGGUGAGUAAUAUAUCGGAACGUGCCCAGUCGUGGGGGAUAACGUAGCGAAAGCUACGCUAAUACCGCAUACGAUCUAUGGAUGAAAGCGGGGGAUCGCAAGACCUCGCGCGAUUGGAGCGGCCGAUAUCAGAUUAGGUAGUUGGUGAGGUAAAGGCUCACCAAGCCGACGAUCUGUAGCUGGUCUGAGAGGACGACCAGCCACACUGGGACUGAGACACGGCCCAGACUCCUACGGGAGGCAGCAGUGGGGAAUUUUGGACAAUGGGCGCAAGCCUGAUCCAGCAAUGCCGCGUGCAGGAUGAAGGCCUUCGGGUUGUAAACUGCUUUUGUACGGAACGAAACGGUGAGCUCUAAUACAGUUUGCUAAUGACGGUACCGUAAGAAUAAGCACCGGCUAACUACGUG
This 485-nucleotide ribosomal RNA is filed under the name uncultured bacterium. RNAcentral describes it as "bacterial SSU rRNA". It matches the Rfam family "Bacterial small subunit ribosomal RNA", at positions 30 to 507 of the family's 1533-position model. The record is from RNAcentral.